AGUCCUCGCAGUACACCUGUCUGCCCUGCGAAGUGCACGUCUCAGCUGUAGCUCCCAGAGCCAGAGCUUCAGUGAUCCUCCGACUGUGAAAAACCAAACCCCUGGCUGCCUGGCUCCCUAGGAAUCAAGGAGAGGCACAGACUUGAAAAUCAGGGAGGAAAGGAGCAAGAUCGAGCAUGAGGAUUAGCAUCUGCAAAUUGAACUCUAUCUAAUUUGCAUGUUUAUUUCUUAGAAUUGUAAUUAAAUUUGUGUAAUAAAUGUUUUCCAUUUCAUUUGUACACUUAAAAUUUGGGUGACUGACAUACAGUUAAGUGAAUUUCUUUCUUUCUUUUUUUUUUUUUAAAGCAAAUGUAGUUUAUUCAAUAAAGCAGCAAACAAAUAUUAACCAUAAUUAGAAC
Molecule: non-coding RNA, 398 nt
Organism: Miniopterus natalensis
Lineage: Eukaryota; Metazoa; Chordata; Mammalia; Chiroptera; Miniopteridae
Source: RefSeq, a predicted model, not a curated record